AUUGAACGCUGGCGGCAUGCCUUACACAUGCAAGUCGAACGGCAGCACGGGUGCUUGCACCUGGUGGCGAGUGGCGAACGGGUGAGUAAUACAUCGGAACAUGUCCUGUAGUGGGGGAUAGCCCGGCGAAAGCCGGAUUAAUACCGCAUACGAUCUACGGAUGAAAGCGUGGGACCUUCGGGCCUUGCGCUGUAGGGUUGGCCGAUGGCUGAUUAGCUAGUUGGUGGGGUAAAGGCCUACCAAGGCGACGAUCAGUAGCUGGUCUGAGAGGACGACCAGCCACACUGGGACUGAGACACGGCCCAGACUCCUACGGGAGGCAGCAGUGGGGAAUUGUGGACAAUGGGCGAAAGCCUGAUCCAGCAAUGCCGCGUGUGUGAAGAAGGCCUUCGGGUUGUAAAGCACUUUUGUCCGGAAAGAAAUCCUUGGCCCUAAUACGGUCGGGGGAUGACGGUACCGGAAGAAUAAGCACCGGCUAACUACGUG
This 486-nucleotide ribosomal RNA is filed under the name uncultured bacterium. RNAcentral describes it as "partial 16S ribosomal RNA". It matches the Rfam family "Bacterial small subunit ribosomal RNA", at positions 30 to 507 of the family's 1533-position model. The record is from RNAcentral.